GACGAACGCUGGCGGCGUGCUUAACACAUGCAAGUCGAACGGAAAGGCCCUGCUUUUGUGGGGUGCUCGAGUGGCGAACGGGUGAGUAACACGUGAGUAACCUGCCCUUGACUUUGGGAUAACUUCAGGAAACUGGGGCUAAUACCGGAUAGGCGCUCCUGCUGCAUGGUGGGGGUUGGAAAGUUUCGGCGGUUGGGGAUGGACUCGCGGCUUAUCAGCUUGUGGGUGGGGUAGUGGCUUACCAAGGCUUUGACGGGUAGCCGGCCUGAGAGGGUGACCGGCCACAUUGGGACUGGGAUACGGCCCAGACUCCUACGGGAGGCAGCAGUGGGGAAUAUUGCACAAUGGGCGGAAGCCUGAUGCAGCAACGCCGCGUGCGGGAUGACGGCCUUCGGGUUGUAAACCGCUUUCGCCUGUGACGAAGCGUGAGUGACGGUAAUGGGUAAAGAAGCACCGGCUAACUACGUG
RNAcentral lists this ribosomal RNA (468 nucleotides) under uncultured bacterium. Its description in RNAcentral is "partial 16S ribosomal RNA". It matches the Rfam family "Bacterial small subunit ribosomal RNA", at positions 28 to 507 of the family's 1533-position model. The record is from RNAcentral.